RNAcentral lists this ribosomal RNA (446 nucleotides) under uncultured bacterium. Its description in RNAcentral is "bacterial SSU rRNA". It matches the Rfam family "Bacterial small subunit ribosomal RNA", at positions 329 to 792 of the family's 1533-position model. The record is from RNAcentral.
GACCAGACUCCUACGGGAGGCAGCAGUGGGGAAUAUUGCACAAUGGGGGAAACCCUGAUGCAGCGACGCCGCGUGAGCGAAGAAGUAUUUCGGUAUGUAAAGCUCUAUCAGCAGGGAAGAAAAUGACGGUACCUGAGUAAGAAGCUCCGGCUAAAUACGUGCCAGCAGCCGCGGUAAUACGUAUGGAGCAAGCGUUAUCCGGAUUUACUGGGUGUAAAGGGAGCGCAGGCGGUCUGGCAAGUCUGAUGUGAAAUACCGGGGCUCAACUCCGGGACUGCAUUGGAAACUGUCAGACUGGAGUGUCGGAGAGGCAGGCGGAAUUCCUGGUGUAGCGGUGAAAUGCGUAGAUAUUAGGAGGAACACCAGUGGCGAAGGCGGCUUACUGGACUGUAACUGACGUUGAGGCUCGAAAGCGUGGGGAGCAAACAGGAUUAGAUACCCGCGUA